RNAcentral lists this ribosomal RNA (519 nucleotides) under uncultured eukaryote. Its description in RNAcentral is "SSU rRNA". It matches the Rfam family "Eukaryotic small subunit ribosomal RNA", at positions 1161 to 1699 of the family's 1831-position model. The record is from RNAcentral.
AGGGCACCACCAGGAGUGGAGCCUGCGGCUUAAUUUGACUCAACACGGGAAAACUCACCCGGCCCGGACACUGGAAGGAUUGACAGAUUGAGAGCUCUUUCUUGAUUCAGUGGGUGGUGGUGCAUGGCCGUUCUUAGUUGGUGGAGUGAUUUGUCUGGUUAAUUCCGAUAACGAACGAGACUCUAGCCUACUAAAUAGAUCGUCGGCUUACAAACGCCGGCGAGACUUCUUAGAGGGACAGGCGGUGAUUCAACCGCACGAAACAGAGCAAUAACAGGUCUGUGAUGCCCUUAGAUGUCCGGGGCCGCACGCGCGCUACACUGAAGUGAUCAGCGUGCUUUUUCAACCUACUCUGUCAAGAGUGGGGAACCCAAUGAACCUUCUUCGUGAUUGGGAUAGGGGAUUGUAAUUAUUCCCCUUGAACGAGGAAUUCCCAGUAAGCGCGAGUCAUAAGCUCGCGUUGAUUACGUCCCUGCCCUCUGUACACACCGCCCGUCGCUACUACCGAUUGAAUGUUUU